Molecule: unclassified non-coding RNA, 340 nt
Filed under: uncultured fungus
Lineage: Eukaryota; Fungi
Description: partial contains small subunit ribosomal RNA, internal transcribed spacer 1, and 5.8S ribosomal RNA
Rfam family: Eukaryotic small subunit ribosomal RNA (bases 1-129)
Source: RNAcentral
GCAAACUUGGUCAUUUAGAGGAAGUAAAAGUCGUAACAAGGUUUCCGUAGGUUAGUAAAACCCAUAAGACUCCUUUUUUAAAGACUCGACGCUAACAGUUCUCUAGGUGAACCUGCGGAAGGAUCAUUAUAGAGUAUCGGGACUUCGGUUCCUACUCCAACCCUAUGUGUAUCGAAUUUGUUGCCUUGGUGAGCCUUCAGGUAAUGCUGAUAUCGGCUUCUGCUGAUGAGUGCCACCAAAGGAAUUUUAAUUCUAUCAAUUUUGAAAUCUGAGAAAACCAAAAUGAAAUAAAACUUUCAACAACGGAUCUCUUGGUUCUGGCAUCGAUGAAGAACGCAGC